RNAcentral lists this ribosomal RNA (500 nucleotides) under uncultured bacterium. Its description in RNAcentral is "partial 16S ribosomal RNA". It matches the Rfam family "Bacterial small subunit ribosomal RNA", at positions 30 to 523 of the family's 1533-position model. The record is from RNAcentral.
AUUGAACGCUGGCGGCAGGCCUAACACAUGCAAGUCGAGCGGUUGGCGGGAGCUUGCUCCCUGAUUCAGCGGCGGACGGGUGAGUAAUGCCUAGGAAUCUGCCUAUUAGUGGGGGACAACGUUUCGAAAGGAACGCUAAUACCGCAUACGUCCUACGGGAGAAAGCAGGGGACCUUCGGGCCUUGCGCUAAUAGAUGAGCCUAGGUCGGAUUAGCUUGUUGGUGAGGUAAUGGCUCACCAAGGCGACGAUCCGUAACUGGUCUGAGAGGAUGAUCAGUCACACUGGAACUGGGACACGGUCCAGACUCCUACGGGAGGCAGCAGUGGGGAAUAUUGGACAAUGGGCGAAAGCCUGAUCCAGCCAUGCCGCGUGUGUGAAGAAGGUCUUCGGAUUGUAAAGCACUUUAAGUUGGGAGGAAGGGUUGUAGAUUAAUACUCUGCAAUUUUGACGUUACCGACAGAAUAAGCACCGGCUAACUCUGUGCCAGCAGCCGCGGUAA